This 242-nucleotide long non-coding RNA is filed under the name Lathyrus oleraceus (garden pea). Its description in RNAcentral is "Pisum sativum (pea) long non-coding RNA (PSAT_LNC035925)". The record is from RNAcentral. Lineage: Eukaryota; Viridiplantae; Streptophyta; Magnoliopsida; Fabales; Fabaceae.
UCAGUAUGACAUUCUGGCUGGUACAGGUGCUGGAGUUACAGUAGCUGUUAUUUGAUGAAUGCACAGAUUUAGGGGGAGAAGAAGUACCCUGGUGCAUUGUGCAUUUGUGUGUCUUACUAGUUGCAUCCAUAACUAGUAAUUCUGUUGAUUGUUGCACAGAUUUAGGGGGAGGAGAAGUACCCUUGUGCAUGUGUGUAUUACUAGUAGCCAUAGCUAGUAAUUGUUUUUUGCUUCUGCUGCUG